This 253-nucleotide ribosomal RNA is filed under the name uncultured bacterium. Its description in RNAcentral is "partial 16S ribosomal RNA". It matches the Rfam family "Bacterial small subunit ribosomal RNA", at positions 524 to 776 of the family's 1533-position model. The record is from RNAcentral.
UACGUAGGGUGCGAGCGUUAAUCGGAAUUACUGGGCGUAAAGGGCCAGUAGGCGGCCAACUAAGUCGGAUGUGAAAUCCCCAGGCUUAACCUGGGAACUGCAUCCGAUACUGGAUGGCUUGAAUUCGGGAGAGGGAUGCAGAAUUCCAGGUGUAGCGGUGAAAUGCGUAGAUAUCUGGAGGAAUACCGGUGGCGAAGGCGGCAUCCUGGACCGACAUUGACGCUGAACGGCGAAAGCUAGGGGAGCAAACGGG